GGAAGGAUCAUUAUUGAAUUUGGAUCCGAAGGGGAAGGGCGAGCGAGCGAAGUUUGCAGAAGCGUUAGAGAUCGUCGCUGGCCUUUGGAAACAAAGGCAUGUGCAUGUCUCGACCCUCUUGCUUAGUCCUCGUUCUCUUUCCUUUCGUAAAUCUUUGACACCCGUGCACCUCUUGUAGGUCCCUGCGAGGGGACCUAUGUCUUCAUAAUCUCUUUGUAUGUUCAGGAAUGUAUCUAAAGCGUCGACCGGCUUGGCUGAACGUCCAGUCGGCGACGGUAAAGAAAUGUAAUACAACUUUCAGCAACGGAUCUCUUGGCUCUCGCAUCGAUGAAGAACGCAGCGAAUUGCGAUAAGUAAUGUGAAUUGCAGAUUUUCAGUGAAUCAUCGAAUCUUUGAACGCACCUUGCGCUCCUUGGUAUUCCGAGGAGCAUGCCUGUUUGAGUGUCAUUUAAUUCUCAACCAUCCCUCGAUUGAUUUUCGAGGUUUGGCUUGGAUUUUGGGAGCUGCCGGCGACCGAUCGGGUCUUUG
This 528-nucleotide unclassified non-coding RNA is filed under the name uncultured fungus. Its description in RNAcentral is "sequence contains ITS1, 5.8S rRNA gene, ITS2 and 28S rRNA gene". The stretch from base 293 to 447 matches the Rfam family "5.8S ribosomal RNA". Lineage: Eukaryota; Fungi. The record is from RNAcentral.